RNAcentral lists this ribosomal RNA (468 nucleotides) under uncultured bacterium. RNAcentral's name for it is "partial 16S ribosomal RNA". It matches the Rfam family "Bacterial small subunit ribosomal RNA", at positions 28 to 507 of the family's 1533-position model. The record is from RNAcentral.
GACGAACGCUGGCGGCGUGCUUAACACAUGCAAGUCGAACGGAAAGGCCCUGCUUUUGUGGGGUGCUCGAGUGGCGAACGGGUGGGUAACACGUGAGUAACCUGCCCUUGACUUUGGGAUAACUUCAGGAAACUGGGGCUAAUACCGGAUAGGAGCUCCUGCUGCAUGGUGGGGGUUGGAACGUUUCGGCGGUUGGGGAUGGACUCGCGGCUUAUCAGCUUGUUGGUGGGGUAGUGGCUUACCAAGGCUUUGACGGGUAGCCGGCCUGAGAGGGUGACCGGCCACAUUGGGACUGAGAUACGGCCCAGACGCAUACGGGAGGCAGCAGUGGGGAAUAUUGCACAAUGGGCGGAAGCCUGAUGCAGCAACGCCGCGUGCGGGAUGACGGCCUUCGGGUUGUAAACCGCUUUCGCCUGUGACGAAGCGUGAGUGACGGUAAUGGGUAAAGAAGCACCGGCUAACUACGUG